This 573-nucleotide ribosomal RNA is filed under the name Dujonia zeylanoides. RNAcentral's name for it is "eukaryotic LSU rRNA". It matches the Rfam family "Eukaryotic large subunit ribosomal RNA", at positions 67 to 657 of the family's 3401-position model. Lineage: Eukaryota; Fungi; Ascomycota; Pichiomycetes; Serinales; Debaryomycetaceae. The record is from RNAcentral.
AACUGUGUGCCUCAGCUAACGGCGAGUGAGCGAGCAAAAGCUCAAAUUUGAAAUCUAGCACUUUCAGUGUUCGAGUUGUAAUUUGAAGAAGGUAACUUUGGUUUUGGCUCUUGUCUAUGUUCCUUGGAACAGGACGUCACAGAGGGUGAGAAUCCCGUGCGAUGAGAUGCCCAAUUCCAUGUAAAGUGCUUUCGAAGAGUCGAGUUGUUUGGGAAUGCAGCUCUAAGUGGGUGGUAAAUUCCAUCUAAAGCUAAAUAUUGGCGAGAGACCGAUAGCGAACAAGUACAGUGAUGGAAAGAUGAAAAGAACUUUGAAAAGAGAGUGAAAAAGUACGUGAAAUUGUUGAAAGGGAAGGGCUUGAGAUCAGACUUGGUAUUUUGCGUUCCCUUCCUUUUUGGUUGGGUUCCUCGCAGUUUACUGGGCCAGCAUCGGUUUGGAUGGUAGGAUAAUGACAUUGGAAUGUAGCUUUACUUCGGUGAAGUGUUAUAGACUUUGUUGAUACUGCCUAUCUAGACCGAGGACUGCGUCUUUGACUAGGAUGCUGGCGUAAUGAUCUUAAGCCGCCCGUCUCAA